GCAACCUUCCUUCAAGUGAGGAAUAGCCCAGGGAAACUUGGAUUAAUACCUCGUAAUAUUAUGAAGUGGCAUCACUUUAUAAUUAUAGCUCAGGCGCUUGAAGAUGGGCGUGCGACUGAUUAGGUAGUUGGCGGAGUAACAGCCCACCAAGCCUGCGAUCAGUAACUGGUGUGAGAGCACGACCAGUCACACGGGCACUGAGACACGGGCCCG
Molecule: ribosomal RNA, 213 nt
Filed under: uncultured bacterium
Lineage: Bacteria
Description: partial 16S ribosomal RNA
Rfam family: Bacterial small subunit ribosomal RNA
Source: RNAcentral